Molecule: ribosomal RNA, 175 nt
Filed under: Vahlkampfia sp. PSHW2/PAK
Lineage: Eukaryota; Heterolobosea; Eutetramitea; Acrasida; Vahlkampfiidae
Description: 5.8S ribosomal RNA
Rfam family: 5.8S ribosomal RNA (bases 1-60)
Source: RNAcentral
AAUCCUCGAACGCAUCCGGCGCUCUCGGGUCUUCCCGGGAGCAUGCCCGUCUGAGCGUCGUUCCCAAAAAUCCCAACCCCAGAUGAUUAAAAACCAUCCGGGGAUGGGUGAUCGGGAGUCUGCAGCGAUGCAGUCUUCUGGGAACGAGGCGCACCUCCUUGAGCCCCAUCCGACG